GGCUUUUUGAGUAUAAUUUAAGGUCGGGCCUGCCCAAUGAUUAAUUAAAUGGCCGCGGUAUAUUGACCGUGCAAAGGUAGCAUAAUCAUUAGUUUUUUAAUUGAAAGCUUGUAUGAAGGGUUUAAUGAAAAAAAUACUGUCUCUAUUUAAGUUUAUUAGAAUUUUAUAUUUAAGUAAAAAAGCUUAAAUUUAUAUUGAAGACGAGAAGACCCUAUAGAGUUUAAUAUUUUAUGUAUUAAAUUAAUUAUUAAGAAUUUUAAGAAUUUAUUGCAUGAAAUAUUUAAUUGGGGUGAUUGAAAAAUUAAUUAAACUUUUUUUGUAUUUUUACAUUGAUUAAUGAAUUUAUGAUCCUUUAGUUAAGAUUAAAAGAUAUAAUUACCUUAGGGAUAACAGCGUAAUUUUUUUUAGAGUUCUUAUCGAAGGAAAAGAUUGCGACCUCGAUGUUGGAUUAAAAUAAAUUAUUGGUGUAGAAGCUAAUAAAUUAGGUCUGUUCGACCUUUAAAUUUUUACAUGAUCUGAGUUUAAACCGGUGUAAG
Molecule: ribosomal RNA, 536 nt
Filed under: Acalles guadarramaensis
Lineage: Eukaryota; Metazoa; Arthropoda; Insecta; Coleoptera; Curculionidae
Description: partial 16S ribosomal RNA
Rfam family: Bacterial large subunit ribosomal RNA
Source: RNAcentral